GUUUAUCUCUUUUCUUUCAAACCUUAAUACUGAUCCCCUUUUCUCUGUCCAUCGAUCUGCACAGUUGUCCCAGUUCUAGACCAGUUGAUUGGAGAAGGAAAAUAUGUUGAUCAACCAGAGAUUUCUUUAAGCUAAAUAAACACCUCUGAAAUUUGGUCGUUACAAGCAUGUUGUCCAGUUUCAGCAAGUGAUGCAACCAAUGCUGCUGUUAAUAUGUGUCAGCAACGUGCACAGGCUUCGCAAUCUUGGUGUUGCCGGUUUUAUCAUCUUAUUUUAAGCAGCCUCUGUUUACAUUCCAGCACAAGCUUAAUGGUUUACAAAAUGGCUAUAUAAAAGAAAAGAAAAGAUUAGAUCAUAUGAGUCGCUGUGGUUUUGGGCCAAUAAAGAGAACUUUGAGGUGAUUAUAUCCAACUGCAAGCAAGAAUUAGUAUUUGCAAUUCCCAAGUUGAGGAAUAUCAACAAAACAGUUGCUUUAAAAGAAUUUACAAAAUUUUAACAUUAGAGGUUGAGGAAUAUGAAUCAAUGAAUGUCCUUAUGGUUGAUUUAGCACCACAGAAUAUAGAUAGUGUGAAGGAGAUUAUGCAACCCCAACUCUAAUACUGAAUAUGGUGUUGGAAAGACUUUUUUCCUCCUAAACGCAACCUUGAGGUGUAUGACUUAAUCAGAAGAUUCCUCAUCUCUAUCUUUAAAAAAAGUAAGUAAAACUAAUGAUGAAGAGAAGGAUAAUCAGAAGCAAAAACUUUUGAUUCGUAAAUUUAAGAUGUAAUUACUAUAUUUUAAAUUUUACAUACAUUUUAUUUGAACUUGUGGUUUGCUUUCAUCUACGUUCCAUGUUUGGUUAAUAUAUAAUUUUAAUUACUUAUAUUUU
Molecule: long non-coding RNA, 868 nt
Filed under: Helianthus annuus (common sunflower)
Lineage: Eukaryota; Viridiplantae; Streptophyta; Magnoliopsida; Asterales; Asteraceae
Description: hypothetical non coding rna
Source: RNAcentral